CUGAGUUCUUUUCUCCUCCCAUAUAGACUUGCCUAUCUAUAUAUGGCCUUAAUUUCUAGACUAACAAGUAGUUUUUUAUUCUGCCUCAUUUACCGAAUGAGCAUUCCCUUGUUACCUUGCCCGAGGUCAUGCAUGAGUUCCCAGAAAAUUGAAAGUUAGUCUGCAUUCCCUGGUCACAUCCUACCCAACAAAGCAGUUUCACUGCAGCAUAGAAUCCCCUGGUGCAUAAUUG
Molecule: long non-coding RNA, 232 nt
Filed under: Pan troglodytes (chimpanzee)
Lineage: Eukaryota; Metazoa; Chordata; Mammalia; Primates; Hominidae
Description: long non-coding RNA NONPTRT016023
Source: RNAcentral